AUGCACCUGUUGACAGCCAUGAAGCACUGAUCGUGGCUUUCUGGUUUAUUUUUGAAGGUGCAAGAUCAAUUUCCUCGCGCUUUCUGCUUGUUCUUUGAAUGACAGGUUGGAUUGAAUAGAGGAAAACAGUU
Pristis pectinata (smalltooth sawfish) is the source of this 131-nucleotide small nucleolar RNA. RefSeq annotates it as small nucleolar RNA SNORA31. The transcript has a single exon. The record is from RefSeq and is a predicted model, not a curated record. Lineage: Eukaryota; Metazoa; Chordata; Chondrichthyes; Rhinopristiformes; Pristidae.